Molecule: RNA transcript, 12415 nt
Organism: Onychostruthus taczanowskii (white-rumped snowfinch)
Lineage: Eukaryota; Metazoa; Chordata; Aves; Passeriformes; Passeridae
Gene: ATMIN
Gene name: ATM interactor
Exons: 6
Source: RefSeq, a predicted model, not a curated record
AGCUGACAGCAACAUGGCGGCGGCGGCCGGGCGGCGUGGCGGGGGCUUGGGGCGGCCACCCGCGCCCGUGAGGGACGUGCCGCCCGCCGGGGAGCUGGUGCGGCCCUCGGUGACAGAGCUGUCCCAAGUGCGGACCAACAUCCUGUGCACCGUGCCCGGCUGCGGGAAGGUGCUGCCCAACAGCCCGGCCCUCAACAUGCACCUCAGCAAGGCGCACCCGCUCCAGGAUGGAAAACUUAAUGCACCAAUAAGGAAGGGUUUGAAAACUUCACAGAAAUUCUACUGCUGUCCUAUUGAAGGCUGCCCUAGAGGACCAAACAGACCAUUUUCCCAAUUUUCUCUUGUAAAACAGCACUUUAUGAAAAUGCAUGCUGAAAAGAAGCACAAAUGUGAUAAAUGUAGUAACUCCUAUGGCACAGAAUGGUAUUUGAAACGGCAUAUAGAGGUCUGUGGGAAGACUUUCCAGUGUACUUGUGGGUGCCCUUAUGCCAGCAGAACAGCAUUACUGUCUCACAUUUACAGAACUGGCCAUGAAAUUCCUGCAGAACACAGGGAUCCUCCUAGUAAGAAAAGGAAAAUGGAGUCCUCCAUUCAUAAUCAGCAGUUGGCAGAGAAAGCAAACGAAGCAUUCAGCAAUACACACAGUACUGCUCCUGGCACUCAGGAACUGGAGUCCUCUGAAGUGAAAGUAGCAGCCUCUCUUGAAGGCUCCUGCAGUUCUAACUUCACAAACCAAAUGCAGCCAAAAUGUGCACCAAAGAUGCUUUUACCCAAGCCCAAGGUGGCUUUGGUUAAACUUCCAGUGAUGCAGGUUGCUCACUUGCCUGUGUAUGUAUCUGCAACAGACUCUUCUGUCAAACCUGCUGUAGUGGCUGUUGAUAAUCAAGGUUCAGUUGUAAGUACUGUUCAUUUAUUGCCUCAGUCUAUAGGAAUCCUGAUUCCAGCCCUGGAGGCAGAAACACUUGUAUUUAAAGACAGUAUGCCUGUUUCAAAAGUGACAGCUUCUGGUGAUCGUGAGCCAGUAAGUACUGGUGUACAAGUUGAAUUGGACAAGGUUACAUCAAAUAACCCAGGGCAAGAGCUGGGGAAUGUUUGUCACAAGAACAAAAUUUCUUCAAUAAAUAUACAGACUGACUUAUCUUAUAUCUCACAGAGCUUUGUACCAGCUGCAGCCUGGACUCCCAAUUCUUCUGUGUCCUCUUGUUCUCAGACAGAUCUGUCAUUCAGUUCCCAGGUUUCAUUACCCAUCAGUGUACAGACACAGACACUGCUGCCUGCUUCCAAGCUGACUUCAUCCAUAGCUGCUCAGACUGAUGCUUUCAGUCAGGGCUGUUUUCCAACGUGUGGCAUUUCCAGAGAGACUCAAACCAGCAGGACACAGGACUGUAUUGAUGGAAGAGUACAGAUGGACCAGGCUGUAAUGUGCAGUGACAUUUUUGACAAUGUUCCUUCAUCAUAUAAUGUUUCUACUCACAUUGAACUUCCAGAAAACAAUUUAAUGCCUGCAAAUAUAGAUCAGACCUUGCUGCAAAGAAGUAGUUGCAAGAGCCUGAAUCAGGAUACGGUUAAGUCUGAAUCCCUUAUCAGCUUCAAUACACAGACUAAUAUACUUCCACCUCAAAAUACAACAGAUAAUCAAACCCAGACAAUGGACCUGCUGAGUGAUCUGGAAAACAUUUUUUCAGGAAACAUGUCUGGCCAGUCACUGGAUAAUCGUGGCCUUUUGUCUGAGACCAGUUCUAAUGCUGACACACAUCUUCCUUCUGCUCCAUCACAGAGCACGGGGAUAGACUUCGACAUUGAAGAGUUCUUUUCAGCAUCCAACAUCCAAACUCAGACUGAAGAGAGUGAGCUUGGUACCCUGAACUCUGAGCCAGUUUUGGAGUCACUGGACAUUGAAACUCAGACUGAUUUCUUAUUUUCAGAUAGUGCCACUCAAUCAUAUAACUGCCGAGGCAAUUCUAACUUCUUAGGUUUGGAGAUGUUUGAUACACAGACACAGACAGACUUGAAUUUCUUUUUGGACAGUACUACCCAUCUGCCUUUAGGAAGUAUUCUGAAACAGUCCAGUUUCUCCAUGAGCACUGACUCAUCUGAUACAGAAACCCAGACAGAAGUAUAUAUGGCUACUAAAAAUACACCUGCUCAGAAUAUGGAAAGCAAAGUCCAGCUCAGUAGUGCUGAGACACAGACUAUGGAUAGCUGCUUUGAGAAUCUGGGGAGUUUAUUCCUUACCAGCAAUGAAACACAGACAGCAAUGGAUGACUUCCUUCUGGCUGACUUAGCCUGGAAUACAAUGGAGUCCCAGUUCAGUUCAGUAGAAACACAGACCUGUGAAGAGCUGUGCUCCUUGUUCCAGAGCUCUGACAAGCCCAGCCACUGAGUGCUAAUAUAACUGUUUCUUGUGGUUUGAAUUUAAUUUAUUGGGGUGGGAGAGAUGGCUUUACCAAUUGAUCCACUUUGCAUUAUUGAAUGUACUUGUCACAAGCAGUUGACCUAACAGACUUUUCAUGCCGAAGGUACUCUAUUGAAUAUGUAACUUUACAUAAACUAUGUGUGUAUAAAUAGAGGGGAAAGGGGGGCCUGUAACAUGUUAAUGUACAUUUGAACCUUAAAAAACUAUGUGGUGCCUAUGUUUUUUCCUCAAACUUCUUUAUGAAGCUGUUACUGCUUUCAUCUAAGUGGAAGAACUUUUAAAGUUGUUCUCUAUAUCUCUCUCUCUAUUCCUGGCUUACAUGCAGGGUUCCAAUGUGCUGGACCAAAACCCUGACCUGUUCAGUUGAGAUGCUUCCCUGAACUUAUGGGGGAGGAUUCUAUUAGUGUAAGCUACUUCUGUUUACUUUUUUUAGUAGCUUGUAUUUUAAAUCCGGCAUGAACAUAAUCAGCCGUAUUGUCUUCUUUUACUUUAUGCCUUCACAGCUCUUUCUCCUGCAUAAGCUGACAUUUUCCAAAUACCUGUCCAACACACUAGACACCUAGAGAUUCUUGAAUUGUUGAAAAUAUUUAUUAUUUUAAAAGAGUGUAGAAAGCAGUAUUUUUGUUUUCCCUGAGUGGCACUGAUGCUCUUUGAAGGGUAGGAAAAGAACAUGGAAUUCGUAACUGUAGGGAAAAUUAGUAUGUCGUCCUUUUAGCUAGCAUAAUAAAUGGGACUAACAUUUUUAGUCUUCAGAAGGGAUUUGCUUAAAUUAUUUCUGUCUUGAAGAUGCAAAUGUUACAAUGUGCGUGCCUCAGAGACUGGAAUCAUUUGGUUUUGCUGAAAUUCUCCUAGCUUUAUUGAGAUACGAGUUGAGAAAUGUUACAGUGGUUUACUACCUUAAGAGAAAUCUUUAAAAAUGGACAAUUAAAUUCCUUAAAACACUCACCUCGACUUCUGGUUUUGGACUUCCUGCUUCCAGAAACAGUUGGAAUCCAUACAGCAGAACUGGGAUAUCAGCUCACAGAAGCCCUUCCAGAACAGCUCUAUCUUACUUUUGCACUUUGAUCUGCAGCCCUCAGUUCCUGCAGCUUUCACAGUUUCCCUGAGUAUAGUCAAACUCACACAAACUGAUUUUUCAGAGAAGAAGCAUAUGACCUCUUGGCACCUUUUUUUAAAUGUUUAGGUUGCCCCUCAUGCCACUGUUUGCAGUAUUUUUCAUUUACAUUAAGCCAGUUGUGAAUGUAUGUUGGAAUUUGGCCUUAAGUAAUUUUUAUCUCUUGCUAUAAUAUCUGUGAAAUGUAGGCCUCUGGUUUUGUACUGGACAAGUUUUAGUUUCUGUAACCUUAAAGGAAAACUCUGUGUGUCAAAUUCCUGGGUCUGUAACAGACUUCACUCCUCCAUUGUUAGAGGAGAGGUAUUGGCUGCAUAAUUACUGUGCAGCCCAGCAGCAAAUGUAUGUCCAAGCCUUAGGUUUUGAGGACUCCCUAUGCUUUGUGCUGCAUAUUCUCAGUUCAAGGAUGUGGGAGUUAAGUUACUCAUCCAUUGCAGCCAGAUUGUUUUUGUUGCAGAUGAGCAAUACCUUUCUUUUAUCCUUUUUUUUUCCUUUGUCUUUUCCUAAUAGUCUUUAUAUUGCUGUGGUGAGUGUCUUUACUGAAAUAAUCUCUUCAGAUUAAUCCUGAAACUCACAUUCUCCUCCUGAGACCCCAUCUGUGUUGCCUGUUUGAUUUUUCAACAUUUCUAGGUAUGAUUUCAGACACUUCCAGUCUGGAUGAAGAAACUGCAGAACGGAAUCUUGCAGUUCCUCAGGAGAAAGUCACUCUGCUGUGGGGAAUGCCCCCAGAUUUCACAAUGUCUGUUGAGUUCUCAUCUGAAGGGUGGGAUAUAUUUAAAAAAGGAAGGCCUCACUUGUAAUUUUGUUUCUUGUGAAGAUGACUGACUCAUAUUUACUUGCCUACUUUGAAAUUGAGAGAUAAGAUAAAGAACAAAAUUAGGUUAAUUUAUUCUGUUGCAAUAUCUUUCUAGUAAUGUUGCAACUUCACAUUUUAAAGUGUUUUUCCUUCCCCUGGCUGCAAUACCAGAGAAUGCUUCUUCAUACACUGAUUUCUGUGUUUCCCAUAUGCAAGUUGUCUGUACUGACAUGUGAAAGAGAGGCAGUCACUAUGAACCUGGUUUGGGAAAAGGGUGUUUUCCACAGCUGUAGAAGCUGUUUGUUACCUCUGAAUUCAGAAAGUCAGCCUUUACUCUGCAAGAGAAGCAAUCUUGGGUGCUGAGGAGCAGAAUUGCUGAAGGGUUUGAAUUGUAGCCAUCUGAGAGACCAGCAAGGUUUAAAGUACUUUGAAACUAAUUUAGAAAUUAGAGUGAUAAUUGCCAUGUUAUUGUGUAAGCCAAAGCUCUUAGCAUCAGGGACUGUCAGGAAAAGACCCAGAAGUUGUGUGGAUGAAAUCUUACCAUGUAAUCAUUACCCAGUUAUUAUACUUUUUAAUUAAAAGUCUUUCUGAGCUUUGUGUAUUUUAUUAGAACAUGCAAAUCACAAUCUUUUCACUCAUUCUAUUUAAAACAGUUUGGACUUUAAUUAGGUGAACACAGUACUACAACAUGAAGUCAUUUAUUGAAAGUGCAGUAUUUAGAAAUUAUUAAAUGUCUGCACUGUCUUAGGAAAGACGAAAUUAACUUCUGACCAAAAUUAACUUUUUUCUUCAUUAAUUUGGUUCUCCAUAAAUUAUUCAUUUAAAAAACAGGUUUGGAUCAUGCAUGUCUGGCUUAUGUCACUCAGUUUGGAUUUAUGAAGUACUUUUGUGAAAAUGUGAAGACUGCAGCCAGACUUCAUAGUUUGGUGAAUCCCACAGGAAACUUCAUGAAACCUGAUCUGAAACACUAUUGCUGAAUAUUAUGAAUUUUUCACAUUUAAACAAAAAGGCUCUCUUGAAAAGAGAGCCUCUUGCAAAAGGCUGAUUUUCUGUUUUUGCCUUUGUUGUAAAAUAAACUUCAGACACAACCAUUUCUGGGUAGAACUAAAGUGAUAAUUAUCUCCCUUUUUCUGCAGUUUGUCUCUGAUUUGAUUUUCAAGGCACUGUAUUGUAAGUAUUGGUCAGCAGUGACUUACUAUCUCACUCUUUUUUGUAUCCUCUAUUGCCAUUAGAGCUGCUAUACAGAAAGUAACAUCAGAGUCUCUGUAGCCUCUUAGCAGAAUUUUUUAUCUGGAAGUGAUACUAAUGUUAUGUGUACUUACCCUUUGUGUUUCCUGCUUCAUUCUGUUAAACUGUGAUUGCUGGAUCUUGAUCCUGACGCCUAUGUAACACUACUAUAAAAUUGAAUUAGUACUUUUGUAGUUUCAUUUGUGCUUUUCUUUAAUGUUUUGUGUUUUUCUUUAAUAUAUAGAGUCGAACAAAGGAAACAGCAGAUUUGGGACUUGCAUUCUGUGAGAACAUAAGCAUAAAUAAGCUGAAAAAUGAAAGGUCUGUCUUGUUGUCUUCCAUAUUUGUUUGUCAGAAUACUGAAAGUUUGUCUGGCUGUAGGUGUUUCCUCUUCUUACAGCUUUAUUUGUGUCUAUUUCUGCUAAUACACCUGUAAAUACUUUUUGCUGUGGGUAGGGAGGGAGUCCUCCCCAAAACUUUGUGUUGGCCUAGAAAAAUUGGUAGUUUUAAGUCAGAGUUUGCUAAUGCUACAUAUUCUUAGUUAUGUGAAGCUGCUUGAGUUUAGAAAAUUCUCAGUUCCAAAGGAUAUGAAAGCAUUAAAAAAAAAUGUAUAUAUACUUGCAGCUGUAAAUUAAACAGCUGCAAAAAAAAAACCUUGUGAAACCUCGUUAAGUUUUUAACUACUUGAUCAGUGUCUGUAAAUUAAUGUAUGUAACUAACUCCUUAGAAAUGUUUGUUUCAAGGCACAAUACACAGGUUUGUUUUUGGUUUUUUUUCUGUUGGAAACAAGAGGCUGAAUUUCCUUGUUGGUCAUAUGGACCCCAGUUGUGUAGGGGCAAGAGAACAAAGAAUGAUGGCUGCCUUGCACUGUUCUGAGUCCUUAUGCUGCUAAGAUGUGAAUUGAUUUUUUGGUGAGGCUGGGUAGAAAUGUAGGAGUUGGCAGGACUGGGGGCUUAGGGGGCUAGAGGGGGUUUUAUAGCCUUUUAAAUGUAAGGAAAUUUAAUAGAACUGAUACUGAAUCAACACAGGGUGCUCAACUUGCAAAAGAACAUGUUCCUGAAGUGGCAACUCUGAGGUGAAUUAAAUGUGCUUGCCUUCAUCAUUAAGGUUGUACAGCUUCCUUUGCUUUAAUAUCUUUCUGACGUGUGCUGAUUUUUUAAAUGUGAUCUUAAUGUACCAUUUACUGUUCCAAAUACAUUCACACCAAACUGUUGAUACCAUUCUGAGCCUUGCAAGCUUUUUCAUUCCUGUUUGGUUUAAGGUGCUGCUAUGCUUGUGUCCUGGUAGGAUGGGCCUCCAGUAACCAGGCUGCCAUUGAUAACGAGCACUGUGAGGAUACGGCUGUUUAAUGGUAGCAAACCAGUGUAUGGUGCAGUCAUGCAUCUUCUGUUUCUUUUGUUGCUGUUUUUAUAAGAGUUGAUGUGAAUUUAAAUAUGUGCAAGAAGGACUUGCUGCUUAGAACAGGACUGAAUUCUCUUGUUUCAAGUGCCAUUGCUGUGCAAUGAACAGAACUCCGCGCUCAGCCCCGCAGUCAGGGUGAGGGAACGUUUGUGUUUGUGUGUGUGACUCUUCACUGAAAAUGUAACCAGACAGCCUGAAAUGGUGGACACGCCUCAAGGAACUGCUGAGUUAAAUAACAGAAGUCCCUUUACUUGUGACCAUUUUUCAUAUGCUGGCUUUACAGUACCUGCAACAACUAGCUGUGGAAUAUAACAGAUGACUUGUGGAUGCCAGCUCUACAUUUCACAACUUCCAGUGCUUUACAUGCUUCAAGCACCUGCAUGCAGAGCUAGAUUGACAGUACCUCUAUCUACAGACAUCUGCAAGUACAUCUGUGAUAAAGCUAGCUCCCAUGCUUAGUGAUGAUCCCACCAUCUUCUCUUAGUUGGAGGAUAUAAAUGCUGAUUUUUGUUGUUACCUGUAAGUCUUGCAUGUGUGAUUCAGAGGAGGUGAAUGAGCAGAAGCCUCGUGACUGAAGGUUCAUCUGCACUGUUCCCUCAGCUGUAGUCAUGAAUGAAGCAUUCCCUGAUGGACAGCAGGAGGCUGCUGUGUUCAGUUCCAUCACAGUCUGAGGAAUGGUGUUGUUCUUGAGAGAACUUAACACAAAAACAAGAAGCUCCUGUUUCCUCUGCUGGAAGAACCCAGUGUAUUCAAAGGCACAUAAUGUGAUUAAGUUUAUGAUGGCUGAAGGGUUGUGUAUUUGUUUCUUUGUUAUUUGUUCUAGGUCUUUAGCAGCUUUUCUGGCCUUCUGCUGCAUGUCUUGUAGAAUAAACUGUGAGUGUAGUCUAUGUUCUUGUAUCAGGUUGUAGUAAAACCUCUGUCUAAUCUGACAGAUUCAAAAAACACAGCAACGCUCUUACCUGGCAUCAAACACUGGAAAACAUGAAAAAAAAUGUUUAUAGUUUCCCCUGCGACUCUUUUUUUUGUAGUCCUAAAAAAUGGAUUACUGAAUUUCUUUCUCUUGGGGCUAUUUGUGAAGGAUGCUUGUUUUGUAGCAGUUGCAUUUAAUAUCUAAAUAUGGAAAACAGAUUAGAAAAUAUUUCACCAUGGGGGAAAGGUACAAAGAAGGGAAGAAAAUGGUCUAUUAGACCUAACUGUGAAAAAAAAAAGUGCAACAAGCUUAUUUUUGGGUCUAUAAAGUCAUGAAGUAGUGCCACUGAGACCACUUGCAGUUGAUAGAAAGCCCUGUGGUUAUUUUACAACAUGGCAUGAAGACUGAGUCACAAGGACUCUUACCAGGAGAUGGGAUUUAGGAACAUCCGUAAGUGCAUUUUUUCAGAUACUUGUGUGAAGAGUUGUGUUAAAAGUUCUAGAACUGAAAGAGUCCCAAACCUGCUUGCUGUUCCUUAAUCCUUGUUAAGAAAAUUCAACCCUUCUAAAAAGUACAGAAUUAUUUAUAUAAGAAAAAUAAAUGGUCUUUAUCAUUUUCUCCAGAAAUGUGAUGUAUAUGUUAGGGUAUUUUUUCUUUUUCAUUUUCUUAACUGGCCUUUUUUUUUUUACUCUCUUCUAAAUUCUUAAGACACUCAGGAGUCAACAGACAAUUAAUAAAAUUUCAUGUGAGCAUCAUCCUACUCUAAGGCAGAUUCACAAGGUCAUGAACAUAGGUAAACUCUUAGAAUUUUAUUUUCUUGUUAAUGCCAUGUCUUUGUUUGGAUUCCAAUACUUCAAAAAAAAAAAAAAAAAAGAAAGAAAAAAACAACAAAACAAAACCAAAACCCUAGAAACCAAUACCCAAGCACAAAACACCCUUUCCAAGUAUCAUAUAUUUUGUUUAGCAGAACUUACAACCUGCUGGAAUUACUCACUGAUUUGACAUCAAAUCUCCUUGAUAUAACUCUAUGAAUCAAAGAAUUUUCACCUUAAUAGAUAAGGACUGCAUAACCUGGUUGGUAAAGAUAAUAUUUGACACAGAAAUCAAUACCAUUGUUUUUUUGUAUGCCUCAAGCACACUAUCUAAUUCUAAUCUGGCACUUGUUUGGAUGUGACUAAGAUAUUUUCUUGGGGAAAUAAAUAAAGUCUGAGUUAAUCAUCAGUGUGGGAAGGUAUUUUUAAAGUAGAAGCAUGCAGAACAACUGUAUCAUGCAAGGCUUACAGACUGCCAGUGAAAAUACCAUUGUCACAUUCAUGUAGUCACAUAUUAUUAAAUUCAGGGGUGAUAUUCUCAUGUAACACCUACAUAGUUCAUCAGCCUCAGAGGAGCUGCACAAUGAGAGUAGAAGUUGACCUUUACAGUUCAUGUACUGAGUCACAACUUCAUCUCCAAAGCUGCUGUAACCGUAAUGCACUUCGCCUUUACAUCCAUUUUAUCUGCCUGCUAAAUAUAAACCUGUUCUGGAAAGUUAAAGUGGACAUGUGACAGGGGCCACUUUGGAUAAGCCCCAGCACUCAGACACUCUGCCCUAUUAAUGGUUCCAUCCCAGUUCUGCCUAAUGCUCCCCUGCGCCGGUGUUUGCUUUCUCCUAGAUUACCUGAGCUCACACAAUCAAUAAAAGCAGCAGAAGAAAGCUCCCCGUUCACUUUCUGCUACGGUUCUGUCUCUUCCUUUGCAAAUCUUUUAACAAAACGUGACCAAACGUUUCUGUUCAUUUAGCUGGAAAUUCUCAAGCAUCAGACGGGUUUUAAAUGCACUUUGGCACGGUAGAAAUGUCAGGGACACUCAGCUCACAUAGGCAAACAAGAGGCUGUCUUUAAAAAUUUUGACAUCAGCUGGAAGAUGCAGAGACAGGUCAACAAAAUGUUAUUAGGACAAUGUUAAUUAGGACAAACCUUUAUCCUGUGACCGUGCUAUUUAAAUCUGCAGAGGGAGAGGAAUCUGGAGGAAUGGAAACCAUGCCUGAGCACCAUUUCCUGAGGCUGUCAACACUAAUUGCAAUGUAAGACCUUCUGUUCUUCUUGCCCUGUAAUAGAGCAAACCUGCAUAGCUCCAGAACUUACAGGAUGCUGUCUCCAUUAGUGCUGGCACCUUCAAAAUUAUCUUGUCAUAAAAAUACUACUUUCCAGCAAAGAGAUAAUAGGUAUUUCUUUAAAGGGGGUAGCUAGGGCAGUAUUUAUGAUUCUGUAUCAGCUUGGUUUUGACAGUAUUAUUUAGAACAGAGUCUUGAAAAAUGUCCUUACCAUAGCACUAUAAAAGCAGAUAUAGAUUAGGCUUUGAAACUUCAAUGUUCAAAACGUUGUGAACUAAAUUAAGAUUGAGGGGGUGGUGGAUGGCUGCCUACUAUUGCAUACAUUAAACCAUAGUUUCUGUGUGUGGUACUGCUUACUUGCCUCUAAGGAUUUCAGCAUUUGCUGUGUACAAAUAUUUAUAGUAGGCAAACCCAACAUUUCUUUUUAAAUUUCCUUUUACAAACAGUGCCUGAUGCUUCCCAUCUCUAACCACAGUUUCCACAUCACAGAAGGAUGCAUGAGGCUGCAGGCUAUUUGAGGGAAUGUCUGCAUGUAUAUUUGUUAAAAUUCAGUGCUCAAAACUUACAUUUACUGCAUCUGUCUUAAAAUUCAUCAGAGGGGGUAGACCAGCUUGGUAGUAAGGACACCCUCAGAAGUGAAAGGUGUGGGUGAGAGUUCCCACAGCACACUUGGCAAGUGAGCAAGAGUAAAAAAGCAGCAGCAUCCUCAGAUUCAGUGAGACUGCUGGGAAUGUUUGGACUGGGAGAAGAAAGUGAGAAAUAUCAUUGUGAGAAUUCUGGUGGUGUUUACACAGUGACAGUGCUUGAGACAAGGCUGAGGUGCCCCUGCAUCUCAUGUUGCUUUGACCUGGCUAGUCCAAGGCUUAUUGUGUUGGUUUGGGUUUUUUUCCUUGCUUUGCAGUGUGGUUUCUCUGGUUUUAUGCUUAAGUUUAUGAUAAAAAGAAGUUGGGCAACUAACAUUACCAGAAGAGGGGAAGUGAAAUUUUUCAAAGGUACCCCAAUUGUGUAAAGUACAGCAGAAGCUAAAUUACUCUGAAGUUGUGUUCCCAGGCAUACCACAAAAACAUCCAGACCUGAAUGAAUGUGUAAUUUGGUUUAAACCAAUUUAGCUUAUUUGUGCUGAUAGUUUUGCAGUGGUUUAAAAAUGCAAAGACUUUACAUAUUGAUGUAAAAACUUAAGUUCUCUGUUUGAUUUUGAGUGGAAUGAACAUCAGCAAAACCAAGUGUUAGUUCAUUAGAAAAUGUUCAUUAUGACAGAGAGAAAUUACAGAAAAAUUAAUUUGAAAGGAUGUAGCCUUAAAAGCUGUUUGUACAAUUAUUUGAAUCUGUUCUUGUCCUCAUAUUAACAUGAGUAGAUGAAAACCAGACAUGAGUUCAUGUUGUUUUACUGAAAUACCCAUUUCUGUGAGGGAGACACAGGAAAGAGACCUAAAAAAAUGUUUCCCAUGGUGUGCAUUAAAGGACAAGUGGGACAAUUUAAACAUUCUGGGCUAAUGAAUUCAGAUGUACUUAUUUAUGUUGUUACUAUUUGAUUUUUCAAGACCUCUCAUCAGGCUGCAAAUGUGAGACAGUGGCACAAUGAAACAUAAUGGUGUCAAAUUUAAUACUGACGGGCAUAAUUUUCUCUACUUAUGAAUUAUAUGUCAUUAAAAAGAUUUGGAAGCCAGCAGCAAUAAUCUAGGAUUAUUUUCAUGCUUAUUAGUAAAGGAAUUAAAGCUGAUUUUUCUAAUAUGAGACAGUGGGUAACUUUUCCCUGUGUUCUGGUGGUGGUGGUUUGGUUUUGUUUUUUUUUUUUAUAUACUCUUAGUCCUUAUCAGGUUUGCUUGUCCUAUUCUUAAUCUUAUCAUCCGCAUUUCCACUGGCUAGACUGUCAAAGGAACACCAAGUGCUGCAGAUAAAAUGCUAGAGGUGUAAAAAGCUGCUGCUCAGAAGCUAAAUCAGAAUCACAUGUCAACACAGUUCAGGCUCAGGCUCUGGCAGGAUGGUAGGAUCAUUGUUUUUAAUGCCAUUUACUAAUUAAAAAUGAGUCCCAGAUUACGGAAAGUCUGGACUGAAGCGGCUUACUAAAGCGGUGGUUUAGCUCCUUGAACUGGCUACAUCAGAGCCUGUCAUUAUAAUGUAAUUUAUUUGAAUAUUGCUCAGCAAUUUCCAGCUGCUCUUCUGACAAGAGGCGGCGCGGUUUGUGUUUCACACAAUCAACACCCCGUGUUUCGGCCGGAGCUCCCUUUACCCCCGACCGAGACGCGUGGCAGGACUGCGGCAGGUGUAUUUUAUUCGGCAGAUGUACGGUAAACGCAUUACAGCAGAUCAGCUGGAUUUUUUCCUUUAAAUGUACACUGUGAGAUCCAACUUGCAAGCCAGCUGUUUCUUAUCGGCCCGUGUAAUCUUCCCGAGCCCGGCUUUGCUUCUUCCUCUCGCAGCUAUUUCUGUAACGGGAUCGGACGAACGAGAGCACCGCUAUG